This 432-nucleotide ribosomal RNA is filed under the name uncultured bacterium. RNAcentral's name for it is "partial 16S ribosomal RNA". It matches the Rfam family "Bacterial small subunit ribosomal RNA", at positions 29 to 506 of the family's 1533-position model. The record is from RNAcentral.
AACGAACGCUGGCGGCAUGCCUAACACAUUCAAGUCGAACGAGACCUUCGGGUCUAGUGGCGCACGGGUGCGUAACGCGUGGGAACCUGCCCUUAGGUUCGGAAUAACUCCCCGAAAGGGGUGCUAAUACCGGAUAAUGUCUUCGGACCAAAGAUUUAUCGCCUUUGGAUGGGCCCGCGUUGGAUUAGCUAGUUGGUAGGGUAAAAGCCUACCAAGGCGACGAUCCAUAGCUGGUCUGAGAGGAUGAUCAGCCACACUGGGACUGAGACACGGCCCAGACCCCUACGGGAGGAAGCAGUGGGGAAAUUGGGCAAAGGGGCGAAAGCCGGAUCCCACAAUGCCCGGUGAGUGAAAAAGGCCUUAGGGUUGUAAAGCUCUUUUCCCCGGGAUGAAAAUGACAGUACCGGGAGAAAAAGCCCCGGCUAACCCCGU